Molecule: long non-coding RNA, 511 nt
Organism: Lolium rigidum
Lineage: Eukaryota; Viridiplantae; Streptophyta; Magnoliopsida; Poales; Poaceae
Exons: 3
Source: RefSeq, a predicted model, not a curated record
CUUAUGCCUGGGACUAUGGUCCCCAUUCCCCACAUGUUUGUAAUCUACAGUGUCAAUUGUUCAGCAGACAGAAAUCAUAGAGAGUGAACUGUAAUCCAAGAUGGCAUAUCAAUUACUGUGCGAUCUUUAACCAGCAGGGACAGUAGUCAAGUACAGAGACAUUACAGUGGAGUGCUUUGACGGAUUGAGCGAGGGCUGAAAAAUGGCAUCCUCCAGAAUCCUGUAGGUGAAGUGGUUGCUUAGUCUUGAAUAAUGGCUGGUGAAAUUGGGUAAACACUGCUUUGCUGUUGAUGCCGGACCGGAUUCUACAUGUGCAAAGUUUCAUUGGUUGUUAUGCCAAUACCUGCAACAGGCUGCUGAUGGGCAGGUAAGGACGUAUCGAAGGGAGAUUAUUCUAGCCCAAGUACUCUAGAAACGAUUUUAUUCCAUGUCAAUCAGACAGAGCAUGGGCAUCUGGACAUGGAAAUGAACCAUUCCGUGUUUACCUCGUCGCCAAGGCGCCAGGUCAAUC